RNAcentral lists this ribosomal RNA (504 nucleotides) under uncultured bacterium. Its description in RNAcentral is "partial 16S ribosomal RNA". It matches the Rfam family "Bacterial small subunit ribosomal RNA", at positions 30 to 523 of the family's 1533-position model. The record is from RNAcentral.
AUUGAACGCUGGCGGCAGGCCUAACACAUGCAAGUCGAACGGUAGCACAGAGAGCUUGCUCUCGGGUGAUGAGUGGCGGACGGGUGAGUAAUGUCUGGGAAACUGCCCGAUGGAGGGGGAUAACUACUGGAAACGGUAGCUAAUACCGCAUAACGUCGCAAGACCAAAGUGGGGGACCUUCGGGCCUCACACCAUCGGAUGUGCCCAGAUGGGAUUAGCUAGUAGGUGGGGUAAUGGCUCACCUAGGCGACGAUCCCUAGCUGGUCUGAGAGGAUGACCAGCCACACUUGAACUGAGACACGGUCCAGACUCCUACGGGAGGCAGCAGUGGGGAAUAUUGCACAAUGGGCGCAAGCCUGAUGCAGCCAUGCCGCGUGUAUGAAGAAGGCCUUCGGGUUGUAAAGUACUUUCAGCGGGGAGGAAGGCGGUGGAGUUAAUAACUUCACCGAUUGACGUUACCCGCAGAAGAAGCACCGGCUAACUCCGUGCCAGCAGCCGCCGUAA